GGUCGCAAGAUUAAAACUCAAAGGAAUUGACGGGGGCCUGCACAAGCGGUGGAGCAUGUGGUUUAAUUCGAAGCAACGCGCAGAACCUUACCAGCGUUUGACAUCCUGAUCGCGGAUAGUGGAGACACUUUCCUUCAGUUCGGCUGGAUCAGUGACAGGUGCUGCGUGGCUGUCGUCAGCUCGUGUCGUGAGAUGUUGGGUUAAGUCCCGCAACGAGCGCAACCCUCGUCCUUAGUUGCGACCAUUCAGUUGAGCACUCUAAGGAAACCGCCGGUGAUAAGCCGGAGGAAGGUGGGGAUGACGUCAAGUCCUCAUGGCCCUUACGCGCUGGGCUACACACGUGCUACAAUGGCGACUACAGUGGGCAGCCACUCCGCGAGGAGGAGCUAAUCUCCAAAAGUCGUCUCAGUUCGGAUUGUUCUCUGCAACUCGAGAGCAUGAAGGCGGAAUCGCUAGUAAUCGCGGAUCAGCAUGCCGCGGUGAAUACGUUCCCAGGCCUUGUACACACCGCCCGUCACACCAUGGGAGUUGGUUUCACCCGAAGGCAGUGCGCUAACCGCAAGGAGGCAGCUGACCACGGUGGGAUCAGCGACUGGGGUG
RNAcentral lists this ribosomal RNA (600 nucleotides) under uncultured bacterium. RNAcentral describes it as "bacterial SSU rRNA". It matches the Rfam family "Bacterial small subunit ribosomal RNA", at positions 884 to 1482 of the family's 1533-position model. The record is from RNAcentral.